This is a long non-coding RNA of Schistocerca piceifrons (Central American locust), 276 nucleotides long. RefSeq lists it as uncharacterized. NCBI's taxonomy places the organism in Eukaryota, Metazoa, Arthropoda, Insecta, Orthoptera, Acrididae. The record is from RefSeq and is a predicted model, not a curated record. The transcript is spliced from 3 exons.
AGUGCUGCUGCCGCCGCACAGCGAGCUGCCACUGUCCGCCUAGCCUCCGCUGUAUAGAGCCUGUGCAGCUAUCGCUCCGUGUAGUGACGUCACGCAGGUGACGUCGGCGUGACAGGGGCGAGCUGCGCGCACCUGUGGAGCGGCGCUGACGGCCGCAGUGGCUCCUGGACUCUCACCGGACCCUCAUCACACUGACAUGGACGCCGACACCAGCGCCGACACCAGAAACACGACGCAACAACUCGGUUCCAGGAUCUUCUGUUGCUCCUUGGCUGU